Molecule: small nucleolar RNA, 131 nt
Organism: Cavia porcellus (domestic guinea pig)
Lineage: Eukaryota; Metazoa; Chordata; Mammalia; Rodentia; Caviidae
Source: Ensembl
CCUGGCCCUGAAUCAAGACCAGCAGUUCUUUUGUAGCUGCUGGUUUCAAACAGGAGCCUAAAGAGAAGUCUUUCUAGGGUCUGUUGGCCAUUUCAGGACCUUGGAAAUGUAAUGGUUAGAAAGAAAUAGCU